This 419-nucleotide ribosomal RNA is filed under the name uncultured Navicula. RNAcentral's name for it is "SSU rRNA". It matches the Rfam family "Eukaryotic small subunit ribosomal RNA", at positions 567 to 990 of the family's 1831-position model. The record is from RNAcentral. Lineage: Eukaryota; Bacillariophyta; Bacillariophyceae; Naviculales; Naviculaceae.
CCAGCACCCGCGGUAAUUCCAGCUCCAAUAGCGUAUAUUAAAGUUGUUGCAGUUAAAAAGCUCGUAGUUGGAUUUGUGGCGUGUGGUGAGCCCCGGGCACUUGUUGUCUGAGUGGCCUGCCGCUGCCAUCCUUGGGGGGAACCUGUGUGGCAUUAGGUUGUCGUGCAGGGGAUGCCCAUCGUUUACUGUGAAAAAAUUAGAGUGUUCAAAGCAGGCUUAUGCCGUUGAAUAUAUUAGCAUGGAAUAAUAAGAUAGGACUUUUUCGCUAUUUUGUUGGUUUGCGCGAAGAGGUAAUGAUUAAUAGGGACAGUUGGGGCUAUUCGUAUUCCAUUGUCAGAGGUGAAAUUCUUGGAUUUCUGGAAGACGAACUACUGCGAAAGCAUUUAGCAAGGAUGUUUUCAUUAAUCAAGAACGAAAGU